RNAcentral lists this small nucleolar RNA (146 nucleotides) under Olea europaea subsp. europaea. Lineage: Eukaryota; Viridiplantae; Streptophyta; Magnoliopsida; Lamiales; Oleaceae. The record is from RNAcentral.
AUUGCCUCUUGAAUAACCGAAGUGGUGGUGCAACCUGCACGUAUCAUUCGGUUCAGAUGGGGGCACAAAUAGAGAUUGAAACAGUUUGAGGAUGAGGAACUCUCUCUUCAUCUUCAUGGUCCUUUUGUAAUUGAUUUCAAACUUAU